GACGAACGCUGGCGGCGUGCCUAAUACAUGCAAGUAGAACGCUGAAGGAGGAGCUUGCUUCUCUGGAUGAGUUGCGAACGGGUGAGUAACGCGUAGGUAACCUGCCUGGUAGCGGGGGAUAACUAUUGGAAACGAUAGCUAAUACCGCAUAAGAGUAGAUGUUGCAUGACAUUUGCUUAAAAGGUGCAAUUGCAUCACUACCAGAUGGACCUGCGUUGUAUUAGCUAGUUGGUGGGGUAACGGCUCACCAAGGCGACGAUACAUAGCCGACCUGAGAGGGUGAUCGGCCACACUGGGACUGAGACACGGCCCAGACUACUACGGGAGGCAGCAGUAGGGAAUCUUCGGCAAUGGACGGAAGUCUGACCGAGCAACGCCGCGUGAGUGACGAAGGUUUUCGGAUCGUAAAGCUCUGUUGUAAGAGAAGAACGAGUGUGAGAGUGGAAAGUUCACACUGUGACGGUAUCUUACCAGAAAGGGACGGCUAACUACGUG
Molecule: ribosomal RNA, 495 nt
Filed under: uncultured bacterium
Lineage: Bacteria
Description: partial 16S ribosomal RNA
Rfam family: Bacterial small subunit ribosomal RNA
Source: RNAcentral